AGUGAACGCUGGCGGUAGGCCUAACACAUGCAAGUCGAACGGCAGCACAGUAAGAGCUUGCUCUUACGGGUGGCGAGUGGCAGACGGGUGAGGAAUACAUCGGAAUCUACUUUUUCGUGGGGGAUAACGUAGGGAAACUUACGCUAAUACCGCAUACGACCUACGGGUGAAAGCAGGGGAUCUUCGGACCUUGCGCGAUUGAAUGAGCCGAUGUCGGAUUAGCUAGUUGGCGGGGUAAAGGCCCACCAAGGCGACGAUCCGUAGCUGGUCUGAGAGGAUGAUCAGCCACACUGGAACUGAGACACGGUCCAGACUCCUACGGGAGGCAGCAGUGGGGAAUAUUCGACAAUGGGCGCAAGCCUGAUCCAGCCAUACCGCGUGGGUGAAGAAGGCCUUCGGGUUGUAAAGCCCUUUUGUUGGGAAAGAAAAGCAGCAGGUUAAUACCCCGCUGUUCUGACGGUACCCAAAGAAUAAGCACCGGCUAACUUCGUG
RNAcentral lists this ribosomal RNA (492 nucleotides) under uncultured bacterium. Its description in RNAcentral is "partial 16S ribosomal RNA". It matches the Rfam family "Bacterial small subunit ribosomal RNA", at positions 29 to 507 of the family's 1533-position model. The record is from RNAcentral.